CCUACGGGAGGCAGCAGUGAGGAAUAUUGGUCAAUGGGCGGAAGCCUGAACCAGCCAAGUCGCGUGCAGGAUGACGGCCCUACGGGUUGUAAACUGCUUUUAUACGGGAAUAACGCGCCUUACGUGUAGGGCUUUGCAUGUACCGUAUGAAUAAGGACCGGCUAAUUCCGUGCCAGCAGCCGCGGUAAUACGGAAGGUCCGGGCGGUAUCCGGAUUUUUUGGGGUUAAAGGGAGCGUAGGCCGCAUGUCAAGCGUGCUGUGAAAUGUCCGGGCUCAACCCGGGCCUUGCAGCGGAAACUGGCGUGCUUGAGUCCGCGGAAAGCAGGCGGAAUGCGUCGUGUAGCGGUGAAAUGCUUAGAUAUGACGAAGAACCCCGAUUGCGAAGGCAGCUUGCUGCAGCGGAACUGACGCUGAUGCUCGAAAGCGCGGGUAUCGAACAGGAUUAGAUACCCGUGUAGUC
RNAcentral lists this ribosomal RNA (460 nucleotides) under uncultured bacterium. RNAcentral describes it as "partial 16S ribosomal RNA". It matches the Rfam family "Bacterial small subunit ribosomal RNA", at positions 338 to 795 of the family's 1533-position model. The record is from RNAcentral.